This 253-nucleotide ribosomal RNA is filed under the name uncultured bacterium. RNAcentral describes it as "partial 16S ribosomal RNA". It matches the Rfam family "Bacterial small subunit ribosomal RNA", at positions 524 to 776 of the family's 1533-position model. The record is from RNAcentral.
UACGGAGGGUGCAAGCGUUAUCCGGAUUCACUGGGCUUAAAGGGUGCGUAGGCGGGCCUGUAAGUCCGUGGUGAAAUCUCCGAGCUUAACUCGGAAACUGCCAUGGAUACUAUGUGUCUUGAAUGUUGUGGAGGUGAGCGGAAUAUGUCAUGUAGCGGUGAAAUGCUUAGAUAUGACAUAGAACACCAAUUGCGAAGGCAGCUCACUACACAAAUAUUGACGCUGAGGCACGAAAGCGUGGGGAUCAAACAGG